UGCCUUAGAAAUUUAGAGGUUGUGCAUUC
RNAcentral lists this non-coding RNA (29 nucleotides) under Mus musculus (house mouse). The record is from RNAcentral. Lineage: Eukaryota; Metazoa; Chordata; Mammalia; Rodentia; Muridae.